This 74-nucleotide transfer RNA is filed under the name Ipomoea nil (Japanese morning glory). It matches the Rfam family "tRNA". Rfam says of the family: Transfer RNA (tRNA) molecules are approximately 80 nucleotides in length. Their secondary structure includes four short double-helical elements and three loops (D, anti-codon, and T loops). Further hydrogen bonds mediate the characteristic L-shaped molecular structure. tRNAs have two regions of fundamental functional importance: the anti-codon, which is responsible for specific mRNA codon recognition, and the 3' end, to which the tRNAs corresponding amino acid is attached (by aminoacyl-tRNA synthetases). tRNAs cope with the degeneracy of the genetic code in two manners: having more than one tRNA (with a specific anti-codon) for a particular amino acid; and 'wobble' base-pairing, i.e. permitting non-standard base-pairing at the 3rd anti-codon position. The record is from Rfam by way of RNAcentral. Lineage: Eukaryota; Viridiplantae; Streptophyta; Magnoliopsida; Solanales; Convolvulaceae.
GCUCUUUUAGCUCAAUUGGUUAGAGCACCCGUUUAGUAAGCGGGAGGUUUCGAGUUCAACUCUCGACAAGAGCA